GAUUUCUGGUUUGGUGCGCGCGGUCCGCUGCGGUUUCGUAGCGUGUGCUGUUGUGCGCCUGCCAUCGUUUGAGGCAGGGGCGUGCUCUUCACUGGGUGCGUCUUUAUCUCAAUCUUUUACUUUGAAAAAAUUAGAGUGUUCAAAGCAGGCUUGCGCUAUGAAUACAUUAGCAUGGAAUAAUAAUCUAGGACUUCGGUUCUAUUUUGUUGGUUUCUAUAACUGAAGUAAUGAUUGAUAGGGAUAGUUGGGGGUGCUAGUAUUGGCCGGCCAGAGGUGAAAUUCUUGGAUUCGGUCAAGACUAACUUAUGCGAAAGCAUU
RNAcentral lists this ribosomal RNA (318 nucleotides) under uncultured Cercomonas. RNAcentral describes it as "SSU rRNA". The stretch from base 96 to 318 matches the Rfam family "Eukaryotic small subunit ribosomal RNA", at positions 731 to 955 of the family's 1831-position model. The record is from RNAcentral. Lineage: Eukaryota; Cercozoa; Cercomonadida; Cercomonadidae.